UGGCUCUCGCAUCGAUGAAGAACGCAGCGAAAUGCGAUAAGUAAUGUGAAUUGCAGAAUUCAGUGAAUCAUCGAAUCUUUGAACGCAACUUGCGCUCUCUGGUAUUCCGGAGAGCAUGCCUGUUUGAGUGUCAUGAAAUCUCAACCAUUAGGGUUUCUUAAUGGCUUGGAUUUGAGUGUUGGCAGUCUCUGCCUCACUUUAAAGGAGUUAGCGAGUUUAACAAUGUCGUCUGGCGUAAUAAGUUUCGCUGGUAAGACUUGUGAAGUUUGCUUCUAAUCGUCUUCGGACAAUUACUUUGACUCUGGCCUCAAAUCAGGUAGGACUACCCGCUGA
RNAcentral lists this unclassified non-coding RNA (333 nucleotides) under uncultured fungus. RNAcentral's name for it is "partial contains 5.8S ribosomal RNA and internal transcribed spacer 2". The stretch from base 1 to 133 matches the Rfam family "5.8S ribosomal RNA", at positions 22 to 154 of the family's 154-position model. The record is from RNAcentral. Lineage: Eukaryota; Fungi.